Molecule: ribosomal RNA, 823 nt
Filed under: Lobariella sandwicensis
Lineage: Eukaryota; Fungi; Ascomycota; Lecanoromycetes; Peltigerales; Lobariaceae
Description: SSU rRNA
Rfam family: Bacterial small subunit ribosomal RNA
Source: RNAcentral
UGGUCAAUAGCCUAACGGCUGAACCAGCAACUUGGAGGAAUGAAAAGCAAAGCUAACUGCAUUUAGAUUGUCCCUUUUUAUUUUAAAAGUUUGAAAUCCUUUUAAAGAGGAAGGGUCCAUUUUUUAUGUAGUUACUAUUUUUUAGUUUAAAAUUCUAGAUAGAAUUAUGAUGAUGACAUUAUCUAUCUAUUAGUCUUGACCAAAUUGCGUGCCAGCAGUCGCGGUAAUACGCAGAAGACAAGUGUUAUUCAUCUUUAUUGGGUUUAAAGAGUACCAAGACGGUUAAUAAAGCCUAGUCAUAUAAGAUAAAAAGGGACACAUUAACUAGAGUUAUAUGAAAGGAAGCUAUAAGGUACUGCUGUGUGUAGAGAUAAAAUUCAUUAAUACCAGAAUAAGGCACAGAUUUAUGCGAAGGCAUCUUCUUAUGUAAUAACUGACGUUGUAGGACGAAGGCUUUUGUAGUGAAAAGGAUUAGAGACCCAAGUAAUCUAAGCAGAAAAUGAUGAAUGUCAUAGGUUUAAUAUAUUAUUGAGUCUAUAAAUGAAAGUGUAAGCAUUCCACCUCAAGAGUAAUUUGGCAACAUUGGAACUGAAAUCAUUAGACCGUUUCUGAAAUCAGUAGUGAAGUAUGUUGUUUAAUUAGAUGAUACACAAAAAACCUUACCACAAUUUGAAUAUAUAUCUUUAAAGAUAUUUACAAGCGUUGCACGGCUGUCUUCAGUUAAUGUCGUGAGAUUUUGGUUAGUUCCAAAAAAUUAACGUAAACCCUCGUUUUAUUUAGAAAUAAAAUUUAGAUCUAUUUCAAUUGAAUUGAGAUAAGAAAA